AUUGAACGCUGGCGGAAUGCUUUACACAUGCAAGUCGAACGGCAGCACGGGGGCAACCCUGGUGGCGAGUGGCGAACGGGUGAGUAAUACAUCGGAACGUGCCCAGUCGUGGGGGAUAACGUAGCGAAAGUUACGCUAAUACCGCAUACGAUCUAUGGAUGAAAGCGGGGGAUCGCAAGACCUCGCGCGAUUGGAGCGGCCGAUAUCAGAUUAGGUAGUUGGUGGGGUAAAGGCCCACCAAGCCAACGAUCUGUAGCUGGUCUGAGAGGACGCGCAGCCACACUGGAACUGAGACACGGUCCAGACUCCUACGGGAGGCAGCAGUGGGGAAUUUUGGACAAUGGGCGAAAGCCUGAUCCAGCCAUUCCGCGUGCAGGAUGAAGGCCCUCGGGUUGUAAACUGCUUUUGUACAGAACGAAAAGGUUUCUACUAAUACUAGGGGCUCAUGACGGUACUGUAAGAAUAAGCACCGGCUAACUACGUGCCAGCCGCCGCGGUAA
Molecule: ribosomal RNA, 500 nt
Filed under: uncultured bacterium
Lineage: Bacteria
Description: partial 16S ribosomal RNA
Rfam family: Bacterial small subunit ribosomal RNA
Source: RNAcentral